GAUGAACGCUGGCGGCGUGCUUAACACAUGCAAGUCGAACGGGAAUUACUUUAUUGAAACUUCGGUCGAUAUGAUUUAAUUCUAGUGGCGGACGGGUGAGUAACGCGUGGGUAACCUGCCUUAUACAGGGGGAUAACAGACGGAAAUGACUGCUAAUACCGCAUAAGCGCACAGGACCGCAUGGACCGGUGUGAAAAACUCCGGUGGUAUAAGAUGGACCCGCGUUGGAUUAGCUAGUUGGUGAGGUAACGGCCCACCAAGGCGACGAUCCAUAGCCGGCCUGAGAGGGUGAACGGCCACAUUGGGACUGAGACACGGCCCAGACUCCUACGGGAGGCAGCAGUGGGGAAUAUUGCACAAUGGGGGAAACCCUGAUGCAGCGACGCCGCGAGAAGGAAGAAGUUAUCUCGGUAUGUAAACUUCUAUCAGCAGGGAAGAAAAUGACGGUACCUGACUAAGAAGCCCCGGCUAACUACGUGCCAGCAGCCGCGGUAAUACGUAGGGGGCAAGCGUUAUCCGGAUUUACUGGGUGUAAAGGGAGCGUAGACGGAUGGACAAGUCUGAUGUGAAAGGCUGGGGCUCAACCCCGGGACUGCAUUGGAAACUGCCCGUCUUGAGUGCCGGAGAGGUAAGCGGAAUUCCUAGUGUAGCGGUGAAAUGCGUAGAUAUUAGGAGGAACACCAGUGGCGAAGGCGGCUUACUGGACGGUAACUGACGUUGAGGCUCGAAAGCGUGGGGAGCAAACAAGAGUAGAUACCCUGGUAGUCCACGCGGUAAAC
This 779-nucleotide ribosomal RNA is filed under the name uncultured bacterium. RNAcentral describes it as "bacterial SSU rRNA". It matches the Rfam family "Bacterial small subunit ribosomal RNA", at positions 28 to 807 of the family's 1533-position model. The record is from RNAcentral.